UCAUGAUGAGAUUCCAGCUGGCACCAGUCAUAGAGUGACUUGUACUCCCUUCGUUGAUGACCUACAAUGCUGUGGUCUAGAACCACCUCUGAC
RNAcentral lists this small nucleolar RNA (93 nucleotides) under Escovopsis weberi. Its description in RNAcentral is "A. fumigatus snoRNA Afu_190". It matches the Rfam family "A. fumigatus snoRNA Afu_190". The record is from Rfam by way of RNAcentral. Lineage: Eukaryota; Fungi; Ascomycota; Sordariomycetes; Hypocreales; Hypocreaceae.